RNAcentral lists this ribosomal RNA (253 nucleotides) under uncultured bacterium. RNAcentral's name for it is "partial 16S ribosomal RNA". It matches the Rfam family "Bacterial small subunit ribosomal RNA", at positions 524 to 776 of the family's 1533-position model. The record is from RNAcentral.
UACGGGGGGGGCAAGCGUUGUUCGGAAUUACUGGGCGUAAACGGCUCGUAGGCGGCCAACUAAGUCAGACGUGAAAUCCCUCGGCUUAACCGGGGAACUGCGUCUGAUACUGGAUGGCUUGAGUUUGGGAGAGGGAUGCGGAAUUCCAGGUGUAGCGGUGAAAUGCGUAGAUAUCUGGAGGAACACCGGUGGCGAAGGCGGCAUCCUGGACCAACACUGACGCUGAGGAGCGAAAGCCAGGGGAGCAAACGGG